AUGGGGGAGUACGGCGGGGGGGACCUGCUGGGCGAGGCCAUGUGCGCCGGCGCGCGGGUGGUGGUGGUGGAGGACUGCGUGGAGGCGCCCGCCGCCUUCGUCCUCCACCUCCUCCUCAAGCGCGCGCUCGCCGCGGGCGGUGGCGGUGGCGCGGCGCUCCUCGCCCUCGCGCACCCCUUCUCGCACUACGACCGCGUCCUCCGCAAGAUGGGCUGUAACUUAUCCAUGCAUAGGAAGAGUGAGAGGCUUCAUUUCUUUGACUUGCAGGCGUUCCCAGGUGGAACAAGGGGAGGUGCCAUUGCUGAUAGCUUAGCUCAGCUGUAUAGUGCUGUUCAGAGAGUGGUGGAGACAUACAGGGCUGGAGAAAAUGCAGGUCGGCUCACGGUUAUGAUAGAUGAUGUUUCACUCUUGGAAGUUGCUGCCAAUGGUUCUGCAGAUGAUGUCUUGGACUUCUUGCAUUAUUGUGUGACACUUACGUCUGAGAUGAAUUGCUUGCUUGUGGUUCUUAUUCAUGAGGAUAUUUAUUCAAGCGAGGAUGGUGUGGGACUUCUGGCACAUCUGCGCUAUAUUGCGGAUCUUGUGAUUAAAGCAGCACCUCUGAGCACUGGUUUAGCCGCUGAUGUUCAUGGACAGCUGUCAGUGGUAAACAAAGGAAUGCUCAUCGAGCAGAGGCCGGCGAAAGGGCAGAAAGUUUGGAACUUCCAUUUUAAGGUGAAGGAAAACGGCGCAGACUUCUUCUACCCAGGGAGCAGACAUUAG
This 759-nucleotide ribosomal RNA is filed under the name Triticum aestivum (bread wheat). RNAcentral describes it as "partial small subunit ribosomal RNA". Lineage: Eukaryota; Viridiplantae; Streptophyta; Magnoliopsida; Poales; Poaceae. The record is from RNAcentral.